Molecule: ribosomal RNA, 253 nt
Filed under: uncultured bacterium
Lineage: Bacteria
Description: partial 16S ribosomal RNA
Rfam family: Bacterial small subunit ribosomal RNA
Source: RNAcentral
GACGUAGGGGGCGAGCGUUGUCCGGAUUUAUUGGGCGUAAAGCGUGCGUAGGCGGCUGCGCAAGUCGGGUGUGAAACCCCGGGGCUCAACCCCGGAACUGCAUCCGAUACUGCGUGGCUAGAGGUAGGUAGGGGAGAUCGGAAUUCCUGGUGUAGCGGCGAAAUGCGCAGAUAUCAGGAGGAACACCGGUGGCGAAGGCGGAUCUCUGGGCCUUACCUGACGCUCAGGCACGAAAGCUAGGGGAGCGAACAGG